Molecule: non-coding RNA, 54 nt
Organism: Salmo salar (Atlantic salmon)
Lineage: Eukaryota; Metazoa; Chordata; Actinopteri; Salmoniformes; Salmonidae
Source: Rfam
UGCACGCAUGACUGUAGGUCGCUUUGGAUAAAGGCAUCUGCUAAAUGACAUAUU